GUGGUCACAAGCAUUUUAAGCAGCACAUAUACUAAAAUUGGAACGAUACAGAGAAGAUUAGCAUGGCCCUUACCCAAGGAUGAAAAAAUAAAAAUUAAACAAAAAGUU
Small nuclear RNA from Cercocebus atys (sooty mangabey), 108 nucleotides. NCBI's taxonomy places the organism in Eukaryota, Metazoa, Chordata, Mammalia, Primates, Cercopithecidae. The record is from Ensembl.